RNAcentral lists this ribosomal RNA (254 nucleotides) under uncultured bacterium. RNAcentral describes it as "partial 16S ribosomal RNA". It matches the Rfam family "Bacterial small subunit ribosomal RNA", at positions 524 to 776 of the family's 1533-position model. The record is from RNAcentral.
UACGGGGGGAGCAAGCGUUGUUCGGAUUUACUGGGCGUAAAGGGCGCGUAGGCGGUCGUGACAAGUCACUUGUGAAAUCUCCGGGCUUAACCCGGAAAGGUCAAGUGAUACUGUCGGACUAGAGUACAGAAGGGGCAACUGGAAUUCUCGGUGUAGCGGUGAAAUGCGUAGAUAUCGAGAGGAACACCUGCGGCGAAGGCGGGUUGCUGGGCUGAUACUGACGCUGAGGCGCGAAAGCCAGGGGAGCGAACGGG